UUCAGGGAGAGAGGAAAAGAACUGUACAGUCCUUCUCUAGGUAGCUUCCCCCUAGCCCCAAUAAGAGAGGGCAUCAGAAGUGACGGAGACUCCUGAAGUGGGUAUUAGUGUAGGGCAACUGAUAGACAGGAGGCCCUGGGUAUAGACUGGAGUAGACAUGGAGACUAGGGACAAGACUCUAGAGAGGUAAACCCUGACAGUCAGUGUUCUGCAGAAGAAUAGAGAAGGGGGGAGGAUCCAGGCUGGACUAAAAGUUAAAGCUUAGGGAAAGGAUAGUAGUUGUUUUUGGUGUGGUGUUUUUUGUUUUGGGUCAGAGAUUCCCUGGAGAAGGCCUGAGGCUACUAAGGACAGAGGAGUGGAAUGGAACAGUGUCAGUGGGGUGCUGUCUGUGUCGAAUGCUGAUAUCCUCAAAGGGAGGGAACUAAUGUGACCUGCCCAGAAGGCUGAAUUGCAAGAAGAAAAGUCACUGCAUUGCCAAGGCUGCUUUCUAGGAAAGAGCUACUGUGCCACACCUAGCUGUGAGGGGUCUGUCAGAGGUUAGGGGCCUAAGGCUUAGACCUGAUGGGAAGACAGUGUUGUGGUGAAAGGCAAGGCAGAGGAUGCAGCAGAAGCGAGGUUCCCCACUACUGACUGAAAUCACUAAGAAGUGGAUUAAAUGGUGGAACCUGAGACUGUGUCAUCACAACUAAAGAGCAGCAAGCAGCAGAAGCAACAAUGAUGUUAGUGUGCAGCAACAUUGACAGAGGUGGCAGCAACAGUGGGCAGCAGCAGCAACCUUCACUCCUCACAUGGGCGAGAGGUGAACACACCGGGACUGUCAUAUUUCACUGAUCCAAGAGAACCAACCCUAAGUGGCGUGUUAAAGGGACUUUCGUCUAUUGGACUGUCACACUGCAAAGUUUGUAUCCAUCUGUACUAGUACCUGUAGGUUCAUGCUUCAGUUUAACACCUCAUGCCCAUUUGCCCCCACUGGAGAAUGGAGACAGCGCACAGUGAUCAGAAUGGAAAUAGCAACCUUAGGCUUGUUUUCAUGAGUAGGCUAUUACUUCUACAAGAAAACAAUCUCACGAGAAGACUACAGCUUUACAGAUCAAUGGAGAUACCUUCAGACUGCUGAACAACUAUUUUAAAGUAUUAUAGAUAAAAUUUUAAAGAUUUCACAAAUGUUCUUGGCCAUCCUGUAUACUUCUGACAGCUCUCCAAAGGACCCAUCUUCUGGCUAAAGAAAAGUGGAAAUAACAGAUAGCCUUCACAAAGGUCAUUGGAUUCAGUACUUUGGAAGGAAAGCCCACUGACACUUGAUGAUUUGAAAGCAAAUCCUCAGAGAUACUCAGAUACCACUCAUCAGUCACCAGAUGGACACCUAUGUUUUUAAACAGCGACAGUUUGCUAUCUGCUAAAUUUCAUUUAAUGGUCUCUGCUCCAGAGCAGAUAACAAUAAUUCAGGGAAUUUAUCUGGAUUAUCUGACUGACCUUUUCCUCUCAUUUCUCAGUCAGUCUUGCUUCUUGCUUUCAACAUGUGUCAGAAGUCAUUGCUGCUCUCCUCUCCUGUCCCUGAAAUGUCACUGCCUUGAUACUCUGUAAGUGAUUCUGCCUAACUCUUGUCUUGCUCCUGUGUUCUGUUGUUGCCUACGUUACAGUCUUGCAGCCUGAAACGUACACAAAAUAUGUGUUAGCAUGCAAAGUUAUUAUUUUCUUUGGGUUGUUAAACAUGCCAAUCUAAUCCUACACUAUCUACUCCGCCUCUUUCAGUUUAAGAAGCAGUAAAAGCAAGUGUGCAAAAGGAGAACAAGGCCCAUUUUUAAGCAAUAGAAUUCUUUAUUGAGUUAAUCCUAAUUGCUGAAUUAUCAUUUCAGAUACUAUAUAUUUGGCAAAGCAAACUUUGGAUAUUUAUCCUUCUGUGUGUUACAUCAACUUAAUGUCAGUGAACGCUCUUUCCUAUUCUAGCAAAUAGUGACACACCCAGCAGUUUUGCCAGGUUGGAAACUGAUUAUUCAUCUUUAAAAAUUGAUAGGACUAUUUUGUGUUAAUUAGAAGUAAUGAUAGAUUUUUCUGGUUUUUUAAAGUAUAUUCCAUUGUUGUCCUUUAGCUUUUAAUAGACUUUGAUUGACAGCUUUGGAUAACUCUAGGGAGUUGGCUCAGAGGAAUAACACUCAAAUAAAGCAAAACAUAAAUAUUAUUAACAAAACUAUUCAUCUCAACUGCUUCAUCAGAAUUAAUUCAGCUUCUCAAACUGCGUAUAACUGUCUAAUAAAGAGUUAGCUGCAUCGCACAGUCUGUGAACAUUCAAUCAGGAUGGCAUAAUGUUGCAGUAUUAUUGAAAUAAACAUAAACCUUUUAGUAACCUGCCAGGGGAUCCUGAUAGAUUAUUUUCAUUGAAUUUCUAAUUGCAGUGAAGCUGCCAUUGUAGUCUAAAGUGAAAAUAGUGACUGUAAAUAUGGUCUAAUUGUGUGUU
Long non-coding RNA from Mauremys reevesii (Reeves's turtle), 2455 nucleotides. RefSeq lists it as uncharacterized. The transcript is spliced from 6 exons. The record is from RefSeq and is a predicted model, not a curated record. Lineage: Eukaryota; Metazoa; Chordata; Testudines; Geoemydidae.